GGACCAGUUGACCACUUGGUUGAUCAUCAGAUUUUCAUUCGGGAUCAGAUGCUCAGUCUGGUCGCGGGUGAUUACCGAGAUUGCGCGAAUGCCGAUCUUGCGGAUUUGUCCGAUAGCCUCGUUGCCCGCUUGGUCCG
RNAcentral lists this transfer RNA (137 nucleotides) under Erythrobacter crassostreae. RNAcentral describes it as "Erythrobacter crassostrea tRNA-Glu". The record is from RNAcentral. Lineage: Bacteria; Pseudomonadati; Pseudomonadota; Alphaproteobacteria; Sphingomonadales; Erythrobacteraceae.